RNAcentral lists this signal recognition particle RNA (294 nucleotides) under Saimiri boliviensis boliviensis (Bolivian squirrel monkey). Its description in RNAcentral is "Metazoan signal recognition particle RNA (ENSSBOG00000010095.1)". It matches the Rfam family "Metazoan signal recognition particle RNA". Rfam says of the family: The signal recognition particle (SRP) is a universally conserved ribonucleoprotein. Lineage: Eukaryota; Metazoa; Chordata; Mammalia; Primates; Cebidae. The record is from RNAcentral.
GCCACACAUGGUGGCAUGUGCUUGUAGUUCCAGCUACUCGGGAGGCAGAGGCAGGGUGGAUCCCUUGGGCCCAGGGGGUCUGGGGUUGUAGUGCACUAUGCUCAUCGUAUGUCCUCACUAAGUUUGGCAUUAAUAUGGUAACCUCCUGGAAGUAGGAGACUGCCAGAUUGCAUAAGGAGUGAACCGGCCCAGGUAUGAAAUGAAGCAGGUCUAAACUCCCCUGCUGAUCAGUAGUGGGAUGGUGCCUGUGAAUAGCCACUGCACUCCAGACUGGGCAACACAGCAAGACCCUGU